UUCUGGUGUUAUUACCAAAUAUUUAGCAGUAUGAAACCUAUAAUAUUAUAUACCAUACUGUAUACCCUAUUUUACUUAUAAAGUUAUUAAUCUGUAAAGUAAUUUGUAAAAAAUUUUCAAUUGUAAAAUUGCUACAUGAGAAGACAAGUUGUUAGAUGAAAUUCAAAUAUUCUCUAUGUUUGUGUUGUGUAGGUCAAAAAAUAAUAGAUGAAGAUGAUAUUGAUUGUGAUGACUAAGACUUCAUUUUAAGACACAUCAAUCUUUAUCAUUUUUAAAUAAAAAGGAUAAACAUUAUGGAUUUCCAUUAUCUCAAGCAAACUUUCAAUAUUGUGUGUUGCUUCUCUUAAAUGAGAUAAAAACCCAAGGAUGCAAAAAACUUAAUAUAAAAUAGUGUGAAGAAGAAGUAGUAACUGAAAUGAACAGUAUAAUAGAAUUUGAUAAGUUUGACUCAGCACUUGACAAUAUUUCGUCUAGUAACUCUGUAGUAUCUCUGCAGUUAAACAAAGAGUUCAAAAUAUUGGUGGUAAGAACUGUCAAAAACUUGUGAUAGCUAUGAUGAAGAGUUUUAUGACAAAUUCACUCAUGGCCAAAUCUAAUAUGGCAGCUGGAAAAAGCAAAGGAUCUUUUUAGUCUAACCAAGCUAUACAACUUAAUAAAAGUUUGUGCAUCGACUUCUCACGAAUCAUACACAGAGUCGAUUGUCGAUGCAAUAAUUACUGUUUCGUGAAAGCGGGCAACUUUUGCUUGUCUUAAAGUGCCUUAAAUCCAACAGAUAUCAUCGUUAUAAUAUUACUUUGUUUGUAAAUUGUUUUAAAAAAUAAAUUUAAAAAUAACUUUAAAA
Non-coding RNA from Hydra vulgaris (swiftwater hydra), 841 nucleotides. The record is from RefSeq and is a predicted model, not a curated record. Lineage: Eukaryota; Metazoa; Cnidaria; Hydrozoa; Anthoathecata; Hydridae.